UUGGUUGUGUCCGAGGAGUAGGCAAAGUUGGCCGAACCUCCUAAAUUCUGGUGUUCCUUUUAUUGUUGCUUUAUUGUCUUAUUUAUUAUUUAGUGACUGCCAUAUUUUUUUGUAUAGUAGUUGUGACUCAUUCACACUAUACAUUUGGCUUCCGCAACACUUCCUAUAUAUGGAAAUGAAUGUUUUGUUUGUGUGAUCAUAUGCAAGAUAAUGGAAUUGAUAUAGAUCAUCUCUAUAUCCGGACAGAGAAGACUAGUUUUUAGUAAACUGAGUACGUGGAUUGUUAUUUAAUUGGUCAGAGAUGACAUUUAUAAUCCAAAGUUCCCAUGUUUCUGAACCACCUCUCUAGAAAAUACUUUUCCUUGAUGCCUCUGUUGUCGAUCCUUUUUCCUUCUCUCCAGCAGUUGCUUCAUUUUCUAAAAACACGACAGCUGGGGAAAACAUAGAUCAUCUAUGUUUAAAAUCUUGUGAAUCUAUAUAAGUAAGAAUCUGUAAUGGCAAGAAGUAGAACUAGUGUCGGUGAUGGGCUGUGAGGCUACUCUUGGUACUGACACCAAGGUUUUCUGAUAGUGUUCUAGUUUUGAUAAGGAUUUGCUGUUAGUGAUCUCAUUGAUUAUGGUUUCCAUGAUAAUGCGCAAAUCAGUGUGUUCUCUCUGACUAAGCUUUGCUUAUAUUGAAUGGUGAAAAAUGAAUUGUGAUAAAUAACAUGUCAUGGAGAGAACUAAAUAUGGUACAUACACUCAUUAUUGAAUCUUUUGAAUUGGCUGUUUUUGGUGUUGUGAUGUAUGAAAUUUAUGGGCUAUGUAUUUCAUGUUGUUAUUUGAUUGUUAAUUGGUGUUUUGUUUUUUCAUUUGUUAUUUUUCUUUUCUUUUUUUUGGUGGACUGAACAUAAAAGGUUGUAUAUGUAAACAUGUGAUUCCAUGUCAUGCACCCUUAAGUUCGAAACUUACACUUUAUCCAAAAAAAAACUAAACUAAAAGGCAAAGGUUCAAAUUUGUCUCAGAACUAUGCGAAUGGUCCAGAUUUUUCAUCCAUUAUAUUUGGGAUCAAAUCUAUCCUUGCCGUUACAACAAUGGGCUAGAUUUUCCUUUGUUGAGUACAGUUAAUUGUUAAGACUAAUAUCCACCAUUAAUGUAUAGUUAAAGCGAAUAUUUGGACCAUUUUAUAUAAUUCAUGGGCUAGUUUAGACCUUCUCCAAAUUCCUAAACCCUAAACCACUAUAGUACCUCUUCCAUGGAUACCACCAGUUCACAACCAUUAGACCUUCUUCCAUCAGCCCUCUCCGCCAUUAACGCUCACCUACAGACAUUAGAUGUCCCCAUUCAUCAUAACAUUCCUCUAUUUCUAAGCUGCAUCACCACACUGCAGGAAACCUCUAUUUGGCUUAACUCCAAACAAAUCUGCCCAAUAGCUCCCUUUUUCCAUUCACAACUAAAUAGCAAUCAUUUUCAUUUUCAUCUCCACUUAAUUGCCUUAAUGCCAUACUCAUUGUAUUGUCAAUACCACCAUCAAACAAAAAAAUUUCACGCUUGAACAACAUCACCUUGGUUUCAUCUCCGCUAGUACCAAAGCCAACAUUCUUCUCGUCUUCUUAUUUUUCAUUUCUACACAACUCAAAAGCUCCAUCAUCUGUAUAUUUUGAAAAUUUCCGAAACUUUCAGCUUUUGCUUAGGAUUGUUCACAAAGGUGCAAAGGUUGAUUUAACAUGUGGGAGAAGUUCACAAAGGUGCAAAGGUUGGUAUUGAAAUUAGUUGAAUUUUCAAAUUGGCUAUGAAUAAUAACUAUAGUAGAAUUGGAAACAUGCAUUUUGAUGAAUUUGUCGAUUCAGAAUUUUUGGCUGGUCAAUGUUUGUUGAAACUUUAGGAAAUUUAAGGAUAUGGUUUUCUGGGUGUUUUGACAGUUCAGGAAUUGUAGCAUUCGUCAGGCUAAUGAGAUCCUCACCAGAAUUCGUAAAGACCUUGAUUCGUCCCAAAUCUAAAUUUUCCCUUGAACUGUUUGAAAUGGUCCAAAUUUGCCCAUAAACUAUGUGUUAAUGGUAUG
This 2040-nucleotide long non-coding RNA is filed under the name Nicotiana benthamiana. RNAcentral describes it as "long non-coding RNA (NBEN_LNC008718)". Lineage: Eukaryota; Viridiplantae; Streptophyta; Magnoliopsida; Solanales; Solanaceae. The record is from RNAcentral.